AGGAACAAUUGGAGGGCAAGUCUGGUGCCAGCAGCCGCGGUAAUUCCAGCUCCAAUAGCGUAUAUUAAAGUUGUUGCGGUUAAAAAGCUCGUAGUUGAACUUUGGACUUAUAUUACUAGUCAGAUGGAAAUCUAGUACUAGAAAGAAUAUAAGUCUUUCCUUCUGGGUAAAUUAUUAAAAUUUUAAUAAUUGAACCAGGACGAUUACUUCGAAAAAAUUAGAGUGUUCAAAGCAGGCGAGAAGCAUGAAUAUAUUAGCAUGGAAUAAUAGAAUAGGACGUUUGGACCUAUUUUGUUGGUUUCUAGGACCAUCGUAAUGAUUAAUAGGGACGGCCGGGGGCAUCAGUAUUCAAUUGUCAGAGGUGAAAUUCUUAGAUUUAUUGAAGACUAACUACUGCGAAAGCAUUUGCCAAGGACGUUUUCAUUAAUCAAGAACGAAAGUUAGGGGAUCGAAGAUGAUCAGAUACCGUCGUAGUCUUAACCAUAAACUAUGCCAACUAGGGAUCGGGUGGAGUUUAAAUAGAGACGCACUCGGGACCUUAAGAGAAAUCAAAGUAUUUGGGUUCUGGGGGGAGUAUGGUCGCAAGGCUGAAACUUAAAGGAAUUGACGGAAGGGCACCACCAGGAGUGGAGCCUGCGGCUUAAUUUGACUCAACACGGGGAAACUCACCAGGUCCGGACACAAUAAGGAUUGACAGAUUGAGAGCUCUUUCUUGAUUUUGUGGG
Molecule: ribosomal RNA, 725 nt
Filed under: Macrorhabdus ornithogaster
Lineage: Eukaryota; Fungi; Ascomycota; Saccharomycetes; Saccharomycetales
Description: SSU rRNA
Rfam family: Eukaryotic small subunit ribosomal RNA
Source: RNAcentral